Molecule: ribosomal RNA, 253 nt
Filed under: uncultured bacterium
Lineage: Bacteria
Description: partial 16S ribosomal RNA
Rfam family: Bacterial small subunit ribosomal RNA
Source: RNAcentral
UACGUAGGGGGCAAGCGUUGUCCGGAAUCAUUGGGCGUAAAGCGCGCGUAGGCGGCCCGAUAAGUCUGCUGUGAAAGUCCAGGGCUCAACCCUGGAAUGCCGGUGGAUACUGUCGGGCUAGAGUUCGGAAGAGGCAAGUGGAAUUCCUGGUGUAGCGGUGAAAUGCGCAGAUAUCAGGAAGAACACCCGUGGCUAAGGCGGCUCUCUAGUACGGUACUGACGCUGAGACGCGAAAGCGUGGGGAGCGAACAGG